Molecule: ribosomal RNA, 504 nt
Filed under: uncultured bacterium
Lineage: Bacteria
Description: bacterial SSU rRNA
Rfam family: Bacterial small subunit ribosomal RNA
Source: RNAcentral
AAUGAACGCUGGCGGCGCGCCUAAUACAUGCAAGUCGAGCGAGAAGACGUAGCAAUACGUUUGUAAAGCGGCGAACGGGUGAGGAAUACAUGGGUAACCUACCCUCGAGUGGGGAAUAACUAGCCGAAAGGUUAGCUAAUACCGCGUACGCUUCUUGGACUUCGGUUCAGGGAGGAAAGCGAUACCGUGGGUAUCGCGCUCUUGGAUGGGCUCAUGUCCUAUCAGCUUGUUGGUGAGGUAACGGCUCACCAAGGCUUCGACGGGUAGCUGGUCUGAGAGGACGAUCAGCCACACUGGCACUGCGACACGGGCCAGACUCCUACGGGAGGCAGCAGUAAGGAAUAUUGCGCAAUGGGCGAAAGCCUGACGCAGCGACGCCGCGUGGGGGAUGAAGGUCUUCGGAUUGUAAACCCCUUUCGGGAGGGAAGAUGGAAUGGGGUAACCCGAUUCGGACGGUACCUCCAGAAGCAGCCACGGCUAACUUCGUGCCAGCCGCCGCGGUAA